UACAGAGGUGGCAAGCGUUGUUCGGAAUUACUGGGCGUAAAGGGCGCGUAGGCGGUUCGUUAAGUCCUGUGUGAAAUCCCCCGGCUCAACUGGGGAACUGCACAGGAAACUAGCGGGCUUGAGUUCGGGAGAGGGAAGCGGAAUUCCGGGUGUAGCGGUGAAAUGCGCAGAUAUCCGGAGGAACACCGGUGGCGAAGGCGGCUUCCUGGACCGACACUGACGCUGAGGCGCGAAAGCUAGGGGAGCAAACGGG
Molecule: ribosomal RNA, 253 nt
Filed under: uncultured bacterium
Lineage: Bacteria
Description: partial 16S ribosomal RNA
Rfam family: Bacterial small subunit ribosomal RNA
Source: RNAcentral